RNAcentral lists this ribosomal RNA (253 nucleotides) under uncultured bacterium. Its description in RNAcentral is "partial 16S ribosomal RNA". It matches the Rfam family "Bacterial small subunit ribosomal RNA", at positions 524 to 776 of the family's 1533-position model. The record is from RNAcentral.
UACAGAGGUCUCAAGCGUUGUUCGGAUUCAUUGGGCGUAAAGGGCGCGUAGGCUGCGGGGCAAGUCGGGUGUGAAAUCUCAGAGCUCAACUCUGAAACUGCACUCGAUACUGCUUUGCUCGAGGACUGGAGAGGAGAUUGGAAUUCACGGUGUAGCAGUGAAAUGCGUAGAUAUCGUGAGGAAGACCAGUGGCGAAGGCGGAUCUCUGGACAGUUCCUGACGCUGAGACACGAAGGCCAGGGGAGCAAACGGG